RNAcentral lists this ribosomal RNA (1283 nucleotides) under Chryseobacterium indologenes. RNAcentral's name for it is "bacterial SSU rRNA". It matches the Rfam family "Bacterial small subunit ribosomal RNA", at positions 54 to 1346 of the family's 1533-position model. The record is from RNAcentral. Lineage: Bacteria; Pseudomonadati; Bacteroidota; Flavobacteriia; Flavobacteriales; Weeksellaceae.
CAUGCAAGCCGAGCGGUAGAGAUCUUUCGGGAUCUUGAGAGCGGCGUACGGGUGCGGAACACGUGUGCAACCUGCCUUUAUCUGGGGGAUAGCCUUUCGAAAGGAAGAUUAAUACCCCAUAAUAUGUUGGAUGGCAUCAUUCGACAUUGAAAACUCCGGUGGAUAGAGAUGGGCACGCGCAAGAUUAGAUAGUUGGUGAGGUAACGGCUCACCAAGUCUGCGAUCUUUAGGGGGCCUGAGAGGGUGAUCCCCCACACUGGUACUGAGACACGGACCAGACUCCUACGGGAGGCAGCAGUGAGGAAUAUUGGACAAUGGGUGAGAGCCUGAUCCAGCCAUCCCGCGUGAAGGACGACGGCCCUAUGGGUUGUAAACUUCUUUUGUAUAGGGAUAAACCUACUCUCGUGAGAGUAGCUGAAGGUACUAUACGAAUAAGCACCGGCUAACUCCGUGCCAGCAGCCGCGGUAAUACGGAGGGUGCAAGCGUUAUCCGGAUUUAUUGGGUUUAAAGGGUCCGUAGGCGGAUCUGUAAGUCAGUGGUGAAAUCUCACAGCUUAACUGUGAAACUGCCAUUGAUACUGCAGGUCUUGAGUGUUGUUGAAGUAGCUGGAAUAAGUAGUGUAGCGGUGAAAUGCAUAGAUAUUACUUAGAACACCAAUUGCGAAGGCAGGUUACUAAGCAACAACUGACGCUGAUGGACGAAAGCGUGGGGAGCGAACAGGAUUAGAUACCCUGGUAGUCCACGCCGUAAACGAUGCUAACUCGUUUUUGGGCUUUCGGGUUCAGAGACUAAGCGAAAGUGAUAAGUUAGCCACCUGGGGAGUACGAACGCAAGUUUGAAACUCAAAGGAAUUGACGGGGGCCCGCACAAGCGGUGGAUUAUGUGGUUUAAUUCGAUGAUACGCGAGGAACCUUACCAAGGCUUAAAUGGGAAAUGACAGGUUUAGAAAUAGACUUUUCUUCGGACAUUUUUCAAGGUGCUGCAUGGUUGUCGUCAGCUCGUGCCGUGAGGUGUUAGGUUAAGUCCUGCAACGAGCGCAACCCCUGUCACUAGUUGCCAUCAUUAAGUUGGGGACUCUAGUGAGACUGCCUACGCAAGUAGAGAGGAAGGUGGGGAUGACGUCAAAUCAUCACGGCCCUUACGCCUUGGGCCACACACGUAAUACAAUGGCCGGUACAGAGGGCAGCUACACAGCGAUGUGAUGCAAAUCUCGAAAGCCGGUCUCAGUUCGGAUUGGAGUCUGCAACUCGACUCUAUGAAGCUGGAAUCGCUAGUAAUCGCG